This 253-nucleotide ribosomal RNA is filed under the name uncultured bacterium. RNAcentral's name for it is "partial 16S ribosomal RNA". It matches the Rfam family "Bacterial small subunit ribosomal RNA", at positions 524 to 776 of the family's 1533-position model. The record is from RNAcentral.
UACAGAGGUCUCAAGCGUUGUUCGGAUUCACUGGGCGUAAAGGGUGCGUAGGCGGUCGGGUAAGUCUGACGUGAAAUCUCCAAGCUCAACUUGGAAAUGGCGUCGGAUACUAUUCGGCUCGAGGAAUGGAGGGGAGACUGGAAUUCUCGGUGUAGCAGUGAAAUGCGUAGAUAUCGAGAGGAACACCAGUGGCGAAGGCGAGUCUCUGGACAUUUCCUGACGCUGAGGCACGAAAGCCAGGGGAGCAAACGGG